UACGGAGGGUGCAAGCGUUAUCCGGAUUUACUGGGUUUAAAGGGUGCGUAGGUGGAUUGGUAAGUCAGUGGUGAAAUACUUUCGCUUAACGAAGGAACUGCCAUUGAUACUAUCAAUCUUGAAUGUAGUGGAGGUAGGCGGAAUGCGUCAUGUAGGCGGUGAAAUGCUUAGAUAUGACGCAGAACACCAAUUGCGAAGGCAGCUUGCUACACUACUAUUGACACUGAGGCACGAAAGCGUGGGGAUCAAACAGGAGUUAGAUGAUCC
Molecule: ribosomal RNA, 267 nt
Filed under: uncultured bacterium
Lineage: Bacteria
Description: partial 16S ribosomal RNA
Rfam family: Bacterial small subunit ribosomal RNA
Source: RNAcentral